CCCUUAGAUGUUCUGGGCCGCACACGCGCUACACUGAAGGAGGCAGCGUGUACUCCUGGAUCGAAAGAUUUGGGUAACCCGCGAAUCUCCUUCGUGCUAGGGAUUGAGGUUUGCAAUUAUCCUUCAUGAACGAGGAAUUCCCAGUAAGUGCAAGUCAUAAGCUUGCGCUGACUACGUCCCUGCCCUUUGUACACACCGCCCGUCGCACCUACCGAUUGAAUGGUCCGGUGAAAUCUUCGGAUCUGAGAGAUGUCUGAUUAAUUUCGGACGCCUUUUGGAAAAGUUGCUUAAACCUUACCAUUUAGAGGAAGGUGAANUCGUANCA
RNAcentral lists this ribosomal RNA (325 nucleotides) under uncultured eukaryote. RNAcentral's name for it is "partial 18S ribosomal RNA". It matches the Rfam family "Eukaryotic small subunit ribosomal RNA", at positions 1470 to 1796 of the family's 1831-position model. The record is from RNAcentral.